RNAcentral lists this unclassified non-coding RNA (219 nucleotides) under soil metagenome. RNAcentral describes it as "partial contains 5.8S ribosomal RNA, internal transcribed spacer 2, and large subunit ribosomal RNA". The record is from RNAcentral.
AAGACUAUAGACCUGCGGAGUACCUGCGGAAGGAUCAUUACAGGACUCGCAAGACUCCUACAACCCUGUGAACCUACUAUACGAACGUUGCUUCGGCGGGUGCGCCCCGGGGAUUCGUUCCCGCGGCGCGUCAGCCCGCCGGCAGCCUACAAAUUCUGUUUCUUUGCGUUGGCAUCUCGAGAAAAACAAAUAAGUUAAAACUUUUAGCAACGGAUCUCU